AUUAAACCCAAGUCCUCUGGAAGAAAAGCCAGUGGUCCUGACUUCUAAGAGCCAGCUCAAAGAGGGCACCUGCUCUAAGGAGCGUCGGUCUCGGACACCACCCAUGGCAGCUCGUCACGGUUGUGACGCUGAUGUGUAAGAAGCCACAAAGCCCCGUGAGUGCUAUGCAGUCUGGAUGAGGAACAGACGGGCCUGUGUCCAAAGCCAGGCAGCUUUGCCUCCACAGCCUUGGCAUCAGUACGUUUUCUUAUUGCUGUGACAACUUAAGGAAGGAAAGGUCUGUUUAGGCUCACACUUUGAGUUUACAAUCCAUCAUGGUGGGGUAGGCACGGAGGCAGAAGCGCAAAGCGGCUGGUCACGCUCCAUCCUCAGACAGGAGAAGAGACAGAUGGAUAAGGGGAUGCCAGGCUGCUCUCUCCUUUCUGUGUGGUCCAGGACCCACGCCUGAGGAAUGAUACUGCCCACCUCCAUUAACGCAGUUCACAAACUCCCUCACAAGCGUGCCCAUUCAUUUGUCUCCAUGGUGAUUCUAGAGCCCAUCAAACUGACAAUCGAUAUAAACCCCACAGCCCCCCCCCACCGUAGCUAACCACUGUGCUCUCUGAGUUCCAUUGCUGUAAGAAAAUACCCAAGGGUAUUUAGUCCACGGCCAUAUUGCUCUGCAGCUGUGGAGAGGGAGUUCAUCUGAGGGCGUGUGUGUGAUGGAGAAGACUGUUCAUAUCGUGGUGGCCAGGAAGCAGAGAGUAAAAAGGCCCGCAUUGACCUAACUCCUUCCACUCCACUCCACUCCUGUGCUUAUGGAGAGGCAGAAAGAAACACACUGCCCUGUUCAUUCUGAUGAGCACAGUAUGCCUUUAGGAAGUCAAAGAGGAUGCAUCGCGCGGCUCAAACAUGAAAUUUCCCCACUCCUGCUGCAGACUUCCGUUGGAACCCUUGGUCACCAGCUCAUGGCACUCUUCUGGGAGGCUGCAGAACCUUCAGGAGGUGGAGUCUCACUGGACAGAGUGGGUCACGGGGUGGGAGAUGUGGUGGGGUGCGAGUCGUAUGAUUUUACAGCCAGGGUUACUUCUCUCUGUCUUCUCUCUGCUUCCUGGCUGCCGACACAAUGCGACCAGCUGCCUGGAACUCCUGCCAUAUUCCACCACAGAUAAAAGUAGUUAAUACAAGUG
Molecule: long non-coding RNA, 1169 nt
Organism: Mesocricetus auratus (golden hamster)
Lineage: Eukaryota; Metazoa; Chordata; Mammalia; Rodentia; Cricetidae
Exons: 2
Source: RefSeq, a predicted model, not a curated record